GUGCUCACUUCAGCAGCACAUACAUUAAAAUUAGAAUGAUACAGAGAAGUUUCGCAUGGCUCCUGCACAAGGAUGACAUGUUUAAAAAAAUUUCUUUCUUCUU
This 103-nucleotide small nuclear RNA is filed under the name Nomascus leucogenys (northern white-cheeked gibbon). Lineage: Eukaryota; Metazoa; Chordata; Mammalia; Primates; Hylobatidae. The record is from RNAcentral.